Molecule: transfer RNA, 76 nt
Filed under: bacterium
Lineage: Bacteria
Description: tRNA-Trp
Rfam family: tRNA
About the family: Transfer RNA (tRNA) molecules are approximately 80 nucleotides in length. Their secondary structure includes four short double-helical elements and three loops (D, anti-codon, and T loops). Further hydrogen bonds mediate the characteristic L-shaped molecular structure. tRNAs have two regions of fundamental functional importance: the anti-codon, which is responsible for specific mRNA codon recognition, and the 3' end, to which the tRNAs corresponding amino acid is attached (by aminoacyl-tRNA synthetases). tRNAs cope with the degeneracy of the genetic code in two manners: having more than one tRNA (with a specific anti-codon) for a particular amino acid; and 'wobble' base-pairing, i.e. permitting non-standard base-pairing at the 3rd anti-codon position.
Source: RNAcentral
AGGCCUGUAGCUCUAACGGCAGAGCGGCGGUCUCCAAAACCGUAGGUUGGAGGUUCAAAUCCUCCCAGGCCUGCAA